UGGAUCAUGAUAAGAUGAUG
RNAcentral lists this small nuclear RNA (20 nucleotides) under Arabidopsis thaliana (thale cress). RNAcentral describes it as "snRNA_07970". The record is from RNAcentral. Lineage: Eukaryota; Viridiplantae; Streptophyta; Magnoliopsida; Brassicales; Brassicaceae.